Molecule: ribosomal RNA, 636 nt
Filed under: Triticum aestivum (bread wheat)
Lineage: Eukaryota; Viridiplantae; Streptophyta; Magnoliopsida; Poales; Poaceae
Description: partial small subunit ribosomal RNA
Source: RNAcentral
AUGGAGAUUCAAGCGCUGUCCUCCACCAGUGCUUUCGUGCGGCUCCACCACACCGGUGCUCUUCCCCGACGGGGUGUUCGCAGUUGGCGGAGAUUCAAGCGCUUCGCCGGCAAGGUGUUCGCAGUUGGCGGAGAUUCAAGCGUUGUCCGCCACAGGAAAGCGCCACCGGUGCUUUCCUAUGGCUCCACCACAUCGGCGCUUUCUGCCGAUGAGGUGUUUGCAGUCUACGGAGAUUCAGGCGUUGUCCGCUGCCCCGGUGCUUUCUUGCGGCUCCACCACAUUGGCACUUUUUCCUGGCGAGGUGUUCGCAGUCGGCGGAGAUUCAAACGUUGUCCGUCGUCGCCGCUUUCCUGCGGCUCCACCACACCGGCGCUUUCCGACGGUGAGUUGUUCUCAGUUGGCGGAGAUUCAAGUGCUCCGGCGGCGAGGUGUUCGCAGUGGUGGAGAUUCAAGCGCUGUCCGCCACUGGCGCUUUCUUGCGGCUGCACCACAGCGGCGCUUUCCGCCGGCGAGGUGUUCCCAGUCGGCAAAGACUCACGUGUUGUCCGCCGCCGACACUUUCCUUCGGCUCCACCGCAUCAGCUUUGCGCGAGAACUCGAGGUAUGCUGUGCGCACACCCUAUUCCCAUGUGCUAG